ACGAACGUUGGCGGCGUGCUUAAGGCAUGCAAGUCGUACGGAUAUACUGAGAUUACAUCAACUGUAUCUUAGUGGCAGACGGGAGCGUAACACAUUGGUAAUCUACCUCGAUGACGCGGAUAACGCAUGGAAACGUGCGCUAAAACGCGAUGGUCAAGGGGGGACAUAAGUCAUUCCCUUGUAAAUACCGCAAGGUGCGUCGAGAGGAGCCUAUGGUCUAUCAGCUAGUUGGUGAGGUAAUGGCUCACCAAGGCUAUGACGGAUAUGGGGUGUGAGAGCACGACCCCACUCACUGGGACUGAGACACUGCCCAGACACCUACGGGUGGCUGCAGUCUGGAAUAUUCCCCAAUGGGCGAAAGCCUGAGGGAGCGACGCCGCGUGCAGGAUGACGCCCUUCGGGGUGUAAACUGCUUUUAUGUGGGACGAACAAAUGACGGUACCACAUGAAUAAGAGGUUGCUAACUCUGU
RNAcentral lists this ribosomal RNA (470 nucleotides) under uncultured bacterium. RNAcentral describes it as "bacterial SSU rRNA". It matches the Rfam family "Bacterial small subunit ribosomal RNA", at positions 29 to 506 of the family's 1533-position model. The record is from RNAcentral.